AAACCCACCCCCUUCGUCAGCUUACCCUGUGAAGGAAAUAGUAAGCAUAAAUGGCCAAGCCAAAAACUCCACGUCGAGGUGUAUCGUAUGGGGUGGGAAGAAAUGGGCUACAUUCUCUACUACAGAGAAUACAAAUUGUAAUUUGAAAAAAUUACCUAAAGGAGGAUUUAGCAUUAAGUAAGGAAUAGAGUGCCCUGCUGAAAACAAU
Molecule: ribosomal RNA, 208 nt
Filed under: Micromesistius poutassou (blue whiting)
Lineage: Eukaryota; Metazoa; Chordata; Actinopteri; Gadiformes; Gadidae
Description: partial small subunit ribosomal RNA
Source: RNAcentral